This 479-nucleotide ribosomal RNA is filed under the name uncultured bacterium. RNAcentral describes it as "partial 16S ribosomal RNA". It matches the Rfam family "Bacterial small subunit ribosomal RNA", at positions 27 to 507 of the family's 1533-position model. The record is from RNAcentral.
GGAUGAACGCUGGCGGCGUGCUUAACCCAUGCAAGUCGAACGGGAAACCUUUUAUUGAAGCUUCGGCAGAUUUAGCUGGUUUCUAGUGGCGGACGGGUGAGUAACGCGUGGGUAACCUGCCUUAUACAGGGGGAUAACAACCAGAAAUGGUUGCUAAUACCGCAUAAGCGCACAGGACCGCAUGGUCCGGUGUGAAAAACUCCGGUGGUAUAAGAUGGACCCGCGUUGGAUUAGCUAGUUGGCAGGGUAACGGCCUACCAAGGCGACGAUCCAUAGCCGGCCUGAGAGGGUGAACGGCCACAUUGGGACUGAGACACGGCCCAGACUCCUACGGGAGGCAGCAGUGGGGAAUAUUGCACAAUGGGGGAAACCCUGAUGCAGCGACGCCGCGUGAAGGAAGAAGUAUCUCGGUAUGUAAACUUCUAUCAGCAGGGAAGAUAGUGACGGUACCUGACUAAGAAGCCCCGGCUAACUACGUG